AAAGGCCCUGCAGCCUGGCGGGGGUGAACUGCUAAGGCUCCCCAUGGAUUUUUGUGUCAUGGCAGCUGGGACAAACCUGAAGACAUCUGGACACUUGGGACAACUUUCCUCAUUGAUAUACCUGAGGUGAUCAUUGCCACACCUGGAUUAUCACAGGGAUCGAACUCAGGUCCUUGCACUUCUGCAGCAGGCGAUGAAACCACUGAGCUAAAUCCCCGGCCCUGAGGUCUUGGAAAGAUUUUCCCUGAAAGCUUUACCUUCAAGGCGACCCAGCUCAGAGCAAGUAAGUCCAUCACUUAUCGACCUUUUGACUAAGAUCAAGUGCAGAGCAAGGCGAGCUGCAUGCGGCCUUCCCUGCAUACCCAGAA
Molecule: long non-coding RNA, 368 nt
Filed under: Heterocephalus glaber (naked mole-rat)
Lineage: Eukaryota; Metazoa; Chordata; Mammalia; Rodentia; Bathyergidae
Description: lncRNA (ENSHGLG00000050511.1)
Source: RNAcentral